This 472-nucleotide ribosomal RNA is filed under the name uncultured bacterium. Its description in RNAcentral is "bacterial SSU rRNA". It matches the Rfam family "Bacterial small subunit ribosomal RNA", at positions 335 to 801 of the family's 1533-position model. The record is from RNAcentral.
ACUCCUACGGGAGGCAGCAGUCGAGAAUCUUCCGCAAUGGACGAAAGUCUGACGGAGCGACGCCGCGUGGAGGAAGAAGGCCCUCGGGUUGUAAACUCCUGUCAGAGCUUAAGAACCCGGAACGGUCAAUAGCCGUUCCGCUGACGAAGGGCUCAAAGGAAGCCACAGCUAACUUCGUGCCAGCAGCUGCGGUAAUACGAAGGUGGCGAGCGUUGUUCGGAUUCACUGGGCGUAAAGCGCGCGUAGGCGGCUUGAUAAGCCGGUUGUGAAAGCCCGGCGUCAACCUGGGAACGGCAUCCGGAACUGUCAGGCUAGAGUGCAGGAGAGGAAGGUAGAAUUCCCGGUGUAGCGGUGAAAUGCGUAGAGAUCGGGAGGAAUACCAGUGGCGAAGGCGGCCUUCUGGACUGACACUGACGCUGAGGUGCGAAAGCGUGGGUAGCAAACAGGAUUAGAUACCCUGGUAGGCUCUGCU